CGCGGUAGGCCUUCGGUCCCAUUUUUCCAAGGAGUUCGGGUUCGGGCGCACCUUUGAACGCUGGAGAAUGGAGAAGAGCCGACUUGCGUGGAUGCGGUUCGGCUCUAAAGACCUUAGAGGUUUGAGAGCGAGACAAGGCCUGUCCCCUGAUCCCUGCAAACUAGGCCUCACUGUGAUGCUCCAGCAUCUCAUCACUAGGCCUGAGGAACCCAACGGUCGGCCUGGGUGAAUACAGGUUGUCCUGAAGGUGAUACAUUCAUCUGUUCUACAACUCCAUUCCCAACGUGAGGCUCGAGCUCAAGAGUCCCAUGUUGCACAGACUGAGCCAGCCAGGGGUCCCUUGAUCUAUUUCCUCUAGAUGUUCAUUCAAGAUUCUGCCCAGCAUUGAACUCCUGGCAGGUGUUAAGGAUGAAGCAGCUUGUUCCUGUGUGUUCCCCCAAAGCCUCCAGAGUUAACAGGUGCUGUUACCCAUAACCUGCUUGCUUGUUCAAAGGUCCAGUGCCUUUUGUGGAGCCCAAGAGUGACUUGAGGAACCCUGAGCCAUUUUUCUGCUGGACUCCAGUCGAAGUCAGAGGUCUGAAGAAAGAACAAGGCCUGUAUCCUAGGAAUCCAGUUCUUCAGGGAUAUCAAAAGGAAGUUUUCAGGUCAUUUUUUGUACAACCUAGUAGAAGUGAGCAUACAGUUGUUUAAACCUCUCUAAAUAAAAGUUUAAACUUUA
Molecule: long non-coding RNA, 718 nt
Organism: Neogale vison (American mink)
Lineage: Eukaryota; Metazoa; Chordata; Mammalia; Carnivora; Mustelidae
Exons: 12
Source: RefSeq, a predicted model, not a curated record